Molecule: ribosomal RNA, 402 nt
Filed under: uncultured bacterium
Lineage: Bacteria
Description: bacterial SSU rRNA
Rfam family: Bacterial small subunit ribosomal RNA
Source: RNAcentral
UGGGGAAUCUUGCACAAUGGGGGAAACCCUGAUGCAGCGACGCCGCGUGAACGAUGAAGCCCUUCGGGGUGUAAAGUUCUUUCGACGGGGACGAUAAUGACGGUACCCGGAGAAGAAGCUGCGGCUAACUACGUGCCAGCAGCCGCGGUAAUACGUAGGCAGCAAGCGUUGUUCGGAAUUACUGGGCGUAAAGAGUGCGUAGGUGGUUGGCCAAGUUUGGUGUGAAAUCUCCCGGCUUAACUGGGAGGGUGCGCCGAAAACUGGUUGACUAGAGUGUGGGAGAGGGACGUGGAAUUCCUGGUGUAGCGGUGAAAUGCGUAGAUAUCAGGAGGAACGCCUGCGGUGUAGACGGCGUCCUGGACCAUGACUGACACUGAGGCACGAAAGCGUGGGGAGCAAACA